Molecule: long non-coding RNA, 1269 nt
Filed under: Callithrix jacchus (white-tufted-ear marmoset)
Lineage: Eukaryota; Metazoa; Chordata; Mammalia; Primates; Cebidae
Description: lncRNA (ENSCJAG00000076749.1)
Source: RNAcentral
UCUAAAUCUAAUUAUGAAGAAAUAAUCAAGAAAAGUCCAAAUUGAGAAAAAUUUGUGAAAGGAAUAGUCUUUGUUUUGUUACAUAUAUACAUAUACUACAUAUGCAAAUAUAUAUCCCCGAAGCUGACCUUGAGAAAGAAAUUCAUGAACCAUUCCUUUUUUUUUUUUUAAUUGCAUUUUAGGUUUUGGGGUACAUGUGAAGAAGAUGCUACUGAGCCAUUCCUUAGGAGUGUUCCCAGGAGAAACAGGAAAGUGAAAAGUUAAGUCAGUCUAAGAAGAAUAAAAAGGCCAAGGCCAAGUGCAUUAUCAGCAAUCUCCAGGGAGCUACCUCAGUCCCUCGAGGUUGAACAUAUCCGAGAAGACUUCCCAGCAAAGACUGAGGACUCCUACAUCUGGAAAACUGAAAAAGAGAAAGUAAGGUCUAUCUUGUACAAAACUCUGCAUAUCAGUGCUCUGUUUGUUACAACAAUUAAGCCAAUAACCCAAUACUGUGGAGAAUAUCAAGCAUCCAGUUUUUCACACACAUGCAUAAAAGUACUCCUCUUACAGACUCAUUUCUAAGGUUGAGGAAAAAGUAACUCUUUCCCAGGGAUCUGGAUUGAAAGUUAUUAUCUCUAGUGUCAUCCAAAUUUGAACCUUAAUUAAUAUUAGAAAGGAGUCAGAUUAGACAUCAGGGAGAGGCUUCUAAAUUCGCAUUUCUGCCAAGAUAGAGUCUUCUUUUAUUAUUUCUAAGAGAGCUAGGUAUCCUUGGAAGUCACCUCGUCUAGACUGUAACCAAAUAAUGAUGAAACAUAAUAAUCCUACAAAGACUUAGCAUAUGAUCUACACAAUUAUAUAAUUCGAUAAAAAGCUCAAAUUAAGGCUCUCUAUAUUUGUGAAAGUCAGGUUUCCAUAGCCUCUGCCUGGGGCUAAGACAGACUAAAUAAAACUAUUUUUGCAUAUGUGAAUAUAUACCUCAACAAGCCAAAUACUGUAUAAUCUGACUAAACUGUAGGGUUCUAAAAUGAUAACUUCGUUUACCUCUGCGUGGGAGAAUUGUUAGUGAUUUUAUGUGUCUCUUUUUUGUUGACUUUUCUCAUUGAGAAUAUAAUAUUUUGAAAUUAUAUUAAAUAAUACUUAUGAAAUUAAGAAACAGUUCUUUUAAAAACUCAUCAAAAAAUAUGUAUAGAAAGAGCCUAUAUCAGUUAUCUAUUGAUGAAUAACAAACAAUGUCAAAAUUUAGUGACCUAAAAAAAUAAAUUAUUAUCUCACAUUUUUGUGGGCCAAAGC